UACGUAGGGUGCAAGCGUUAAUCGGAAUUACUGGGCGUAAAGCGUGCGCAGGCGGUUAUGUAAGACAGUUGUGAAAUCCCCGGGCUCAACCUGGGAAUUGCAUCUGUGACUGCAUAGCUAGAGUACGGUAGAGGGGGAUGGAAUUCCGCGUGUAGCAGUGAAAUGCGUAGAUAUGCGGAGGAACACCGAUGGCGAAGGCAAUCCCCUGGACCUGUACUGACGCUCAUGCACGAAAGGCGUGGGGAGCAAACAGG
This 254-nucleotide ribosomal RNA is filed under the name uncultured bacterium. RNAcentral describes it as "partial 16S ribosomal RNA". It matches the Rfam family "Bacterial small subunit ribosomal RNA", at positions 524 to 776 of the family's 1533-position model. The record is from RNAcentral.